RNAcentral lists this ribosomal RNA (253 nucleotides) under uncultured bacterium. RNAcentral describes it as "partial 16S ribosomal RNA". It matches the Rfam family "Bacterial small subunit ribosomal RNA", at positions 524 to 776 of the family's 1533-position model. The record is from RNAcentral.
UACGUAGGGGGCAAGCGUUGUCCGGAAUCAUUGGGCGUAAAGAGCGUGUAGGCGGUUUAGUAAGUCUGCUGUGAAAGUCCAGGGCUCAACCCUGGGAUGCCGGUGGAUACUGCUGGGCUAGAGUACGGAAGAGGCGAGUGGAAUUCCCGGUGUAGCGGUGAAAUGCGCAGAUAUCGGGAGGAACACCUAUUGCGAAGGCAGCUCGCUGGGACGUUACUGACGCUGAGACGCGAAAGCGUGGGGAGCAAACAGG